This is a long non-coding RNA of Ictalurus punctatus (channel catfish), 2139 nucleotides long. RefSeq lists it as uncharacterized. Lineage: Eukaryota; Metazoa; Chordata; Actinopteri; Siluriformes; Ictaluridae. The record is from RefSeq and is a predicted model, not a curated record. The transcript has 3 exons.
AAUCUACAGAACCCAGGGCAAUUCACAGCAGUCUACUUCCACAUGGAACAAUUGAAAGCACCAUUAAGCAAUGCAAAUAUUUCUGGGAGAACAAGGAAGGCCUGUAUUUAAUUUUUAAAAUCAACUGAUAUUUUGGAUCUAUAAACAUUACUGAUAUAUUGCUUAUGUCCUGCAGGUCAAAAGGAUGAUGGAAGAUGGAACCUUUGUAGGUUUCUGUAACUUCCUGGCUGACUUGUUUGAGGCCAUCAGUAAAUUCAGACUUCUCCUUCAAAGGAAUGAUAUCAUCUUGCCUCAAGUAAGGCUAAAGUUUAAGCUAAAUUAAAUCAGAAUAGGAUUAAUUCUAAUCAGAUUAUGUUUCGUUUUUUUCCCCCCUUAUUGUUCUAAUUUCUAAGGAAAAUGUUUUAGAGGCUGUCACCGGGAUUGAAAAUCUCAUUGAGACUGUUGAGGCCAUGGCAGUCAGAUGCAUGCCAGGUGGUAGGCUAGCAGAGCUACAGACAGAUCAUCGGGCUCAGAAACGAAGGAAGGAGGAUGAUGCUGAGAUUCACCCUGUAUACAAAUAUCAGACGAAGAGUCCACAGCAACAGCAACCACAAAGACAGUGAGGUAAUUUAAGAUCUUCAGUCAUGAUUCCUGGCCAGAGCAGAGAGACCAGCUGAUAGACUAUGGUGCAGAGGAGCUGGACUUCCUGCUGGACCAUUUCUCCACCAUAUUAACAAGGUCAAUGACUCAGGGAAGUGGUAGCACAGUGGUGGGAAGUGGUAGCUCACAGUUAAGAUGCUGGACAUCUGAUCGGAAGGCUGUGAAUUCAAAUCCUUACACCGCCAAACUGCCACUCUUGGGCCCUUGAGCAAAGCCCUUAACCAUCAACUGCUCAGUUGUAAUAAAAUGAGAUAAUUGUAAGUCACUCUGGAAGAGAGCGUCUGCCAAAUGCUGUAAUGUAAUGUAACGCUGUAAUGACUCUUUAAAUCAUCCUGGCAGAGGAUAUAAAAGACACCAUAACAAAGAACAUAAUUUCACACACCUAACUCGAUCCUAUAGAAACUUAGAUUGUUUGGUCAUCUUUUUCUUAACUCUUUUCAGAAAUGGCUGUAACACCAAUCUGGCUAGAGAGGCGUAUCAGUCCACAAAGAUGUUAAUCUCCAGAAACUACAUGGAUAAAUCCUACCAGGCCCUAUGAGAGAUGAUGCAAAAAAAAAGUUGCCAUUCUACUCUGAUUACAAGAACAUCCUACAUCUGUGCACAUUAUGCUGGUCCUCCCCGUCUCCUCUGCUGUGUGUGAAAGGGCACAGAAGGGUAUUAAAUCUGAUGUCAGGGGGUCCCUGCAUAUAGACACACUCAUUAGAAUAAGUAUGACCGGACCUAGCUUGGAAGAGUUUGACGCCAAGGAGGCUGUACACAGUCAGUGUAAAAGAUCAAGGAAGCCCAACUAUAAGGGUUGGCCGUCAGAGCCUCCCACAGGAGGAUGUGCUCUGAGGGAGAGAAAGGAGAGGCACAGGCUGUUCUGAUGCUGUAAUGACAGCAAAGUAACUACUGACCAGUGACCACUUACCUCAUGUUUACAUUUAUUGUAUUUGUUUUGUUUUGGAUUUUGCACUGUAAUGGCAGCAAUAAUACUUUGUUUACAUAUCUGAAUGUGCAUUUGUUAAGCACCAUUCAAUUAAAAUGUGACUGUGAACUAAAAUAAAACAGCAAAUUGUAGUUUCUGUAUUUAUUUCCAAAGCAUUUAUACAGUUAAAAUAGGGAAAAUGUGUAAAAUUACAUGGCAGGUCUAUUUAAGGUGUGCGCCCGUACAUUUUCUGCCUGUGCCCCUAAAAUAUUCAGUUAGGGGCUAUAGUGCUGCUAGUUAAAAACAUUUCUGCUUUCUGACCCCAAGAUGCAACUAACUUCGCAAUUUUCCAGCUGUGAUCCUUGCAGAUAAUUUGGCUACUCGAACCAUCCUCUCCACAGUGCGUUGAGACAAUAUAGACACUUCCUCUUCCAGGUUGAUUUAUAAUAUUUAUAGUUGGCUGGAACUUCUUAAUUAUUGUCCUGAUGGUGUGCUUUUUUCUUAUAGCCACUUCCCAUUUUGUGAAGUUCAACAACCCUUUAUAACAGCUAUAAUCCUUGGUCUUACCCAUUGUUAUGAAUGACUAAGGGAAU